Molecule: long non-coding RNA, 450 nt
Filed under: Homo sapiens (human)
Lineage: Eukaryota; Metazoa; Chordata; Mammalia; Primates; Hominidae
Description: HSALNT0079617
Source: RNAcentral
CUGUGAUCGGCACCCAAUUAAUCAAAGGCAUUCAUUGUUCCCAGGAGGAAGGUAGAGUCCAAUGCCAUGAAAGGAGCUACGCUGAGUGGAAGAACAUCAACUAUGUUUUUAAUGGUCAUUAAAUGAAGUCUCAAAAGUGAAGAUAUCCAAUCAAGUCCAAUCCCUGGAACAAUGUAGAAAAGAUGGACCUAAGAAACCAAAAUUGAAAUGUCUUUUUCAUGGAUUUAGUGCAGAUUCCCUUUAAGAAAUUGAUAAAUUUCACUGUGGACUGGUUGCUAGGAUACCCCUCAAAAUCUAUUAAAGUAAGCUCUUUCCUUUAAAGGACUGGGCAGGGUUUCCAUUAUUUCAAAAUGACUUUGAAAAUCAUGCUGGGUGUUCCAUCUAAGUGAAUGAAACAGGUAAAUGAAUGGCCCUUAAGAAAAAUAAAUGACCAUGAAGGAUCUAAAAAAU